GAUGAACGCUGGCGGCGUGCCUAAUACAUGCAAGUCGAGCGAACAGACGAGGAGCUUGCUCCUCUGACGUUAGCGGCGGACGGGUGAGUAACACGUGGAUAACCUACCUAUAAGACUGGGAUAACUUCGGGAAACCGGAGCUAAUACCGGAUAAUAUAUUGAACCGCAUGGUUCAAUAGUGAAAGACGGUUUUGCUGCCACUUAUAGAUGGAUCCGCGCCGCAUUAGCUAGUUGGUAAGGUAACGGCUUACCAAGGCAACGAUGCGUAGCCGACCUAAGAGGGUGAUCGGCCACACUGGAACUGAGACACGGUCCAGACUCCUACGGGAGGCAGCAGUAGGGAAUCUUCCGCAAUGGGCGAAAGCUUGACGGAGCAACGCCGCGUGAGUGAUGAAGGUCUUCGGAUCGUAAAACUCUGUUAUUAGGGAAGAACAAAUGUGUAAGUAACUAUGCACGUCUUGACGGUACCUAAUCAGAAAGCCACGGCUAACUACGUG
Molecule: ribosomal RNA, 497 nt
Filed under: uncultured bacterium
Lineage: Bacteria
Description: partial 16S ribosomal RNA
Rfam family: Bacterial small subunit ribosomal RNA
Source: RNAcentral